Canis lupus familiaris (dog) is the source of this 978-nucleotide long non-coding RNA. RefSeq lists it as uncharacterized. The transcript is spliced from 3 exons. NCBI's taxonomy places the organism in Eukaryota, Metazoa, Chordata, Mammalia, Carnivora, Canidae. The record is from RefSeq and is a predicted model, not a curated record.
GAUCAGAGCCGCAUCACAGUAACACUCAGGUGGGGAGAAAGGGGGGGCUCACCCAUCGCACGGAGUGUCCCCAGAGCCACUGAGGAACGAGGAUCCCCCGCACGAUGGGUGAGCGCCCCUAAAGGCAGUCAGGAGCCUCGGGGGCUGCUCUCAGACCCGCUCAGGGAAGAGGCGGCAUCCCAGUGGGCCACGCGGCCCCCAGCUGAACUCGCAAGGCCACGCUCCGCGCUCAGGGCCAUGCCAGGACGGCUGGGUGGAAGCAGAGGCUGUCCCAGCUCGUGGACGAGGGACCCCCUUCGCCCGCGUCUCUGCAGAGUGAGGCAAACCGGGGUACCUGGCUGCAGCCUCCCACACAGGCCCGGGGCUCCCCAGAAAGAACCUGGACCUUGUCUCCGUCACUGUGCGCACUCACGGAGACGCACAAAGACACCUGCAGCGAACUGAAGGACCCGAGGGGAGGCAACAGCACAUCCAGAGGGAAAAGACCACGUGGCCAGCUGGCCCCAUGCCAAGCAGGGCCCCGUAGGAUCUUACUUAGAUCUCUGAGGAAGCCUCACACCCACCUCACAGAGGGGGAAGCUUCUCCCGAAUGGCCCCCGGCCUUCAGCUUUCUCCACGGAGCGGCCACAGCGGUCCUUUUGCAACUGUAAACCACAACACACCAUUUGCCCACAAAAGCCCCUCACUCUCAUCCCGGCCCGGGUGGCAGCUGCCUGGUGACCUGUCCCUGUCACCUUUGCCCUGCGAGCGUAGGCCGGCCGCAGCUAACGUGAUGGCAUGUCACUUCUGAGGCCACCCCGAAGGAUAUCCACGGUGGAGGAGAAUGCCACGAGAGCUUUCUGAAGGGGAAGGCUGUGUCCUAAUUAUCCUGAACGUGACCAAGAAAUCAUGGGUCGGCCUGAAUUUACCCGAAUGAUUCGCUAAGUAGUCCGACACCAGGGGCGCCGGGCGGCUGGAACCGAACAAUUAACAUCUAUU